UACGUAGGAGGCAAGCGUUAUCCGGAAUGACUGGGCGUAAAGGGUGCGUAGGUGGUUUGGCAAGUUGGUAGCGUAAUCCCGGGGCUCAACCUCGGUGCUACUACCAAAACUGUUGAACUUGAGUGCAGGAGGGGUGAAUGGAAUUCCCAGUGUAGCGGUGGAAUGCGUAGAUAUUGGGAAGAACACCAGUGGCGGAGGCGGCUUACUGGACGGUAACUGACGCUGAGGCAUGAGAGCAUGGGGAGCAAACAGG
Molecule: ribosomal RNA, 253 nt
Filed under: uncultured Eubacteriales bacterium
Lineage: Bacteria; Bacillati; Bacillota; Clostridia; Eubacteriales
Description: uncultured Clostridiales bacterium partial 16S ribosomal RNA
Rfam family: Bacterial small subunit ribosomal RNA
Source: RNAcentral